Apaloderma vittatum (bar-tailed trogon) is the source of this 77-nucleotide non-coding RNA. The record is from Rfam. NCBI's taxonomy places the organism in Eukaryota, Metazoa, Chordata, Aves, Trogoniformes, Trogonidae.
UGGAUAUGAUGACUGAUUAUCUGAAAUGCUGAUGAAACUGUUGUGGAAAUCCUCUAGAUAGUCAAGUGCUGAUCCAG